GGCGGUGGGGUUUGACAGAUGAUCAGAUUAUGUUGAUGUUCAGAUUGGAUCCCUUAUGUAUGAAGUCAUCGGAGAAGAAAAUAAUGAGUGUGAUGGAUUUUUUGGUUAAUAAGAUGGGUUGGGAACCUGCAGCUAUUGGUAGAUAUCCAACAGUCUUUUUGCGCAGUCUUGAGAAGAAGAUCAUUCCAUGGUGUUCAGUGGUGAAAGUUCUUCAAAUGAAGGGGUUGGUGAAGAAGGAUCUGUGUGUGAGUUUUUUAGGCUCUGGUGAGAAGAAUUUCUUCAAUAGGUUUGUGGUGAAAUAUGAGCAAGAUGUUCCUGAGCUUUUAAAUGUAUAUCAAGGAAAAAUUGGUAUUUUGGAACUUGGCCUCAUACCUGAGAGGAUAUGGGAGAAGAAACAAUUGUAGCACCUCAACUUUAUAAUUCGAAGUAAAUAUGCCUUUUGUCAUUUUUCCUAUUUGAAACUUGGUUUGCAGGCAUGUUAACUUCUCUUUGCUCUGUUUUUAAGUUGAUAAUAUAAACACCCAUAUCUCUGAACUCAACUAUUUACUGAUAUUGACUGAUUUGUAAUGUUUCUGUUAGUGUUACUGGAAUUUUAUCAGUAUGAUGCAACAAGCAAGUUUCUACAAUGAUGUGGUUCUACUUUCCUAAUCUUCGUGUUAUGUUUUUAAUUGACAUUAUUGUGAAUGUGGCAAUGAGCUAAUUAUCCUCUUUUGUUGCAUAAAACAGGUUGUUUAUAGUUAGAGGUAUUUUAUGGGAUGAAUACCUCAGGUAGUUUCUACAAUGAUGCUUUCUAAUUAUCAUCAUUGUUGCACUUUACUCAGGAUUUUUCUUAGAAUUGCAUUACUUUGUUUCUAGGUAAUUGGGAGGUGGAGGUGGUUGAAAGAUGAGGUUCCGUUUAGAAAGCAUCCUUCACAUGCGAGUUAUUAAAUAAGAACAUUGUCACUGGGAUGGUUUUGGGGAAAAAAAAAAUGGUUGGUAAGCAACUGGCAUUUCUGGAGUUUCAAUGGUUCUAUUUCAGCAAUAGGAUGGCCUUGAGUUGCUCGAUUAUUAAAGUUCUGCUGUGGAAGGGCUUUGUAAUGAAAACUUCUUGCUUAACUGCUAUACUAAUACCUGCUAAGAAUUAAUUCUUGCUCAGUUUGUGUUCAAAUAUUAGGAGCAUAUUCAAGUGAUUGUUGAGUCGAUGUCUGUCACGGGAUAAUAGGUUUCUGGAUGGAAACAAAACAAGUGAUUCAAGGUCCUCUAUGUAUAAUUGGAGGAUUCUAUGGGGAUAUCAUCCCUUCAUCAUAGCUCGUAUCUUCUCCUGAUUUGGGUACCAAGUACUUUGAUUGAUUAUUGUCAGAAUUCCCUUUGUUUUUAUAUUUACAAGGCAUUGCCUUGUGAUAACAUUUUUCUUCUGUUCUGUUGUUCCAGAGCCUGUGUUUAUCCAAUGCCCCUUGUUCAGUUCCUUCUCACAUGGAAACUGCUGCAACACCUUGGAUCUUCCCUGAUGGUUCUUCCAAAGCAGAAUUCACGGAAUGCAACAUGUUGGGCCUUCUACAGUGUGACCCCGGGAACCAGGAAAGUUCUCAUUGCCACAGAAUAAUGCUUUAGGAUGGAUCGACGUUUCUGUUUGAUGAGGAAUAUGAGGCACCUAACACCCAUAGGCAGAUGUUCAUCCUUUUCUAAUCGGAGAUAGUCUGCAAAUGUAUUUCUACAGAGGCAGGCAAAGCCCUUUGAACCCCAAGUUCUUACUUUGCCUGGAGGCCUUAAAAUAAGAGCGGUGUUGGGGUCUCUUGCUUAAAGUGGUUCUUCCUCAAGCAUUAUUAUAAUACCAUAACUGUUGGGUCCUGGAACUCUUUUGCUUUGCUUGUUUGUUUCAGUUCUUCUGUUCUUUUGAUGCCUGGUUCCUUUGGAAUCAAAUGGAGUCAUUCCUUUCCUUGGAUUCAAUGGUUCACUUGAAAUUUUAGAGCAAAGAAUGCAUGGUUCCACACAUUUUUGUAGGAAAAUCAUUCCCCUAAAUUUUUUACACUUACAUGUUGGUAUCUUCUCAUAAGAGAACAUAUUGCAUAUUUCAAUAUAGUAUCUAUGCCCUAAAAAAAAGUUCAUAUUACUUGUAUUAUAUUCAACUCUUUCUAAUUUAUAAAAAAUAUUAAGUUUUAGAAAAUUAAACUAUUAUAAAUUUUAUUUCGCUUCAAAUUUUUAUUUUAUGAUUGGAUGUAUUAAAAAAAUUAAAGGUAAGUUAUUCAAUUUAAAAGUAAAAAUAAAUCUAGCAAAUUGAAAAAUAAAACAUAGAAUUAUCCGUUUAACUAAACUUUAAAAGAAAAAAUAAUAAUAUUUUAAAUUUGCUUUUUAGAAAUAAAAAUAUUUUAUCAUAACUCUUAAAUAUUUUUUUAUACAUAAAAUACCCAAAAUACCCUCACCAUGCUCAUAUUCAAAACCCUAAUUCUAUUUCUUUAUUUUUCCUUCAAAAUCUUAUUUUAUUUUGUAUUUUUAUUUAAAUUAGGGUACAGAAAACACUUUUCCCCUUCUUUUUUCACUAGAAAGUGCAACAUUUGCUGGAGAGAUGAGGUUUUCUGGGCCCUGUUUGUUUAGGUAAAAAAUGGUUCGAGGAAACAUCUUUUGGCAUGGUGGUACAUUUCCAAAUCUAUCUAGCUGCUUCUGAUUUGUCCAUUGUUCGCUGCCUUGGUCAUUGCUUUUCUGCAACGGGUGCUGGAAAUGAGGGCCGAGCGAGUUUCGGAGCUUUACGAUCUUCAAAAUUGGUGAGAGACUCGAACAUUAUCUAGAAAUGAGUACUUGUUUCCUCUGUAGAAGAGUAGUGUCACUCACAAAUGUAGGGCAAAUGUUUGAAAUUUCAAGGACCCGAGUGCAUUUUCUUCAAAAUACCCAACUUCUUAUGCUUAGAUCUUUCUCUUCGCCCAAACAACACUCUUUCACAGUGUCUUACCUCAUGAACUCAUGUGGGUUGUCCCCAGAAACUGCUCUAUCUGCAUCACGGAAGAUACAGUUUGAAACCCCAGAAAGAGCAGACUCCGUCCUCGCACUGCUUAGAAAUUAUGGAUGCACCAAUAGCCAUAUCUCCAAAAUUGUAAGCCGGUAUCCGCUCCUGCUCACUGCCAAUCCUGAGAAGACCCUUUUGCCCAAACUGGAGUUUUUCUGUUCUGUAGGCUUUUCAGGGCCUGACCUUGCCAGUAUUGUCGUUGCUGGCCCACAGAUCUUGAAAAGGAGCUUGGAAAAUCAUGUUAUUCCUAGUUAUAAUUUCCUCAAGAGUGUACUUAUGGUCAACGAAAAUAUUGUGAGGGCCCUCAAUAAGUCAUACUGGCUUCAUGGUCAAAGCCUGCAAAACAUCAUGGCUCCAAAUAUUGCAAUUCUGAAAGAAAUUGGAGUUCCCAUGUCAAAUAUUUCAUUUUUGGUAACAUGUCACCCUGGCGCAGUGUCCCAAAACAAGGAAAAGUUUAGUAGAAGUGUCAAGAUGGUUAUUGAAAUGGGAUUUGAUCCUUUGAGAGUUCCAUUUGUGAAAGCUGUUCAAGUGAUCAUGGAAAUGGGUGAAUCAAUGUGGGAGCAUAAAAUGGAGGUUUAUAGGCGGUGGGGUUUGACAGAUGAUGAGAUUAUGUUGAUGUUCCGAUUGGAUCCCUUAUGUAUGAAGUCAUCGGAGAAGAAAAUAAUGAGUGUGAUGGAUUUUCUGGUUAAUAAGAUGGGUUGGAAACCUGCUGCUAUUGCUAGAUAUCCAACAGUCUUUUUGCGCAGUCUUGAGAAGAGGAUUAUUCCAUGGUGUUCAGUAGUGAAAGUUCUUCAAAUGAAGGGGUUGGUGAAGAAGGAUCUGUGUUUGAGUUUUUUAGGCUCCAAUGAGAAGAAUUUGUUCAAUAGGUUCAUGGUGAAAUAUGAGCAUGAUGUUCCUGAGCUUUUAAAUGUAUAUCAAGGAAAAAUUGGUAUUUUGGAACUUGGCUUCGUGUCUGAGGGGAUAAUGUAGGAUGAAACAGUUGUAGUUUCUCAACUUAACAAUUCCAAAUAAUUAUCCUUUCUGUCGUUUUUAUUAUUUGAGACUUGGUUUGAAGUCAUGCUAACUUCUCUUUUGCACUGUUUUUGACUUUGAUUGCUUUUGACCUUGUUUAAGAUGUAAUAUAGGAUGUCUUAAAAGUUCAUGGACACAUAUACAUUCUGGGGUGAAAAAAAAAAUGUAUAGAGGAUAACAACUAAUUAUUUUGUAUAGAUAGCCCUUGUAGACCAAAAUCCCCAUAAUAUGGUUCAUGGAGUGCUUCAGUUUAUCUACAAUCCCUUUUUUCUACAUGGGAAGUAAAUCAAAGAAGGGUCUAAAACUAUACUUUUUUUUGGCCUAACAAUAUUUGGAAUGUUGUAAAUUACUGAAGUAUUAUGAACUUGGCAUCAUUUUCCCCCUUACAUUAUAUUUGCAGUGAACUAGUGACCUGAUUUUCUACAUUAACUGAACUGAAAUUGAGUUCCUGUUGGGGGUUGUAGGAGCAUAGCUUUUAGCUUUGUUUUAAUUAGAAGGACAGCUCCAGAACAUGUGAAAUAUCCCAACUCCAAGUUGUGGGCAGUGCUAAGAUCUCCCUUUAUGGUUUAUCCUCAUGUUUUGGUCAAGAAAUAUGGCUUCCUCUGCAAAACACUUCAAUUACUACAAAUGAGAAGAAGCACCAAGGGAUUAAAUCCACCACUAAACUCUUUUUUCUUUUUUCUUUUUUAUAGGUCUAAAUCCACCAUGAACUCUGCUUUUUUUAAACCAUGUAAGUUUUCAAAUCUUUCUGAUAAUCGCCAAAUUAGGCAUCGUUCAAAGUAGCAAAAGAUGAACAAUAAUUUGUUUGGUUUUUCCCUUUCCAUCCCAUUUUUCUUUCCACCCAGAUCUCCAUAAUUUGGUUUUUCUAGUUGUUAUAGGUCCUUGAUUAAAAAUAGACAGGCAAGAAAUCUGGAUUGAUUUGCGUGUUGAACUUAUGGAAAUGAUGGUUGUGUUGUAACGUUUCUCUUACAUGUGAAAAUGAUGGUAAUUUUACAUUUCUCUUGCAUGUCUUCCCUUCUACAUUCUCCCUUUCAUUGUGGUCAAAGUUAGUACUGGGGAUACCCAAAGUUUCUUUUGAAAUGCCAAGUUUUGGGUUUUUAGUUCAAUAAAAGAGAAAUACAAAUGGGCAAGGAGAUCUCCAAAAGAUCAAGAAGGUAUAUAGAUAUUAAUUAUGUUGUAAAAAUAUCAAGAGAGCAUGUCGAGAUAGUUGCUGUAAUUCUAGCAGCAACUAGUUCAGACUUCAGAGUAAUUUCCUAAAUAAUGCCCCAUAAAACUAAAAGUUAAACAUGGUUGAGUGAUCUCAUCAUCAGAAACAACUUUUGUCUUGAAUUAUUCAUCUUUUGCAUGGCUCCUGGGGGAUCUGCUAGGUGCCUUCUUCACAUCCUCCUUCCCUGAUACUGAUAGUAGCGUUACUAGUGAGAUGAUCAAUUUACCAAAUCUUAAGCCUAUAUAUGAAAAAAAGAAGGUUGGUAGGCAGCUUGCAUUUCUGGAGUUUCAAUGGUUCUAUUUUUGGAAUAGGACCGUCUUGAGUUGUUCAAUUGUUAAAUAUCUGCUGUGGAAAGGCUUUGUAAUGAAAAAUUCUCGCUUAACUUAUAUAUUGAUAUCUGCUGAGAAUUAAUUCUUGCUUAGUUUGUGUUCAAAUGUCAGUAACAUGUUCAUCAAUUGUUCAAUUGUUCAAUGUCUGUCAGGGGAUAAUAGGUAUCUGGAUGGAAAGAACAGAAGUAAUUCAAGGUUCUCUAUAAGCUAAGAAAGGUACUGUAAGAUCAAAGGUUCUAUGGGGGCAUCAUCCUCCCAUCAUUGCUUUUACCUCGAAUUGGGUACCAAGUACUUGAUUGAUUAUUGUUGUGAUUCCCUUUAUUUUUAUUUUGCAAGGCAUUGCCUCAUUGGUUUUGCCUUGUCGUAACAUUUUCUUUUCAAGCCUGAUGCUCCAUAAUUCUGCUCUGCUGUUAUUCCAAGGCCUCUGUUCAUCCAAUGCCCCUUCAGUUCCUUCUCACAUGGAAACUUCUCAAGACCUUGGAUCUUCCCUGACAGUUCUUUCAAAGCAGAACGUGCCGUAUGCAACAUGUUGGGCCUUCUACUGAGUGACCCUGGGAAACUCCCGUUUGCCACAGAGCUUUGGUAUGAAUUGGAUGUUUCUAUUUGAUAAGGAAUACAAGGCAGCUAACCCAUUGGCAGACUUUGGAUUUUCUUUUCUAAUCUGUAAUAGUUGUUGGCUAAUGUAUUUCUACAGAGGCAGGCAACCCCACUGAGCCCCAAGUUCUAGCUUGCCUAGAGGUCUUAAAAUAAGAGUGGCGUUGGGGUCUCUUGCCUACAAAUUGCAGAAAAUGUGGUGGUUCUUCCUCAAGCAUUAUCAUUCGGGUUGGUCUAUGGUACCGAAUUUAGGGCGCUACCUUAGAAUUUUCCAUAUCAUAUUCAGACUUUAAAGCCUCUUGUCACAAGACUCACAACCAGCAAAGAAAUUAGGGUCAUGGGACUAGACGAUAACCAAUCUUUAUAAUCUAUAGGUAGAUUGAAGGGCAGAAAAUUCAUUUCUCUAUCAUAUGUAUGGAAAUUUAACUAUCAAGAUAAGUUGGUUUCUUUGCCAUUUGAUAAAUUGUGUAGUUUCAUCGCAUCUAAUUUGUGAUGUCCCACAUCGGAUAGGGGAGGAAGUUCCUGGCGCUAUAUAUGUAGAGGCUCUUCUUAACCAAGUAGACGCGUUUUAAAGCCGUGAGGGCCCUCCUUGGGCCCAAAGCGGACAAUAUCUACAUGGUUGGGUGCGGGUCGUUACAAAUGGUAUCAGAGCCGAUCCCCAACCCCGGUGUGGGGGUUUGUUUGGCUCCGUAAGGGGUGUUUGUCUGUUUGGCCCCACAAUCCCAUGGGACACAACGAGGACGUUGUGUCUGCAUGGGGGGGUGUUUGUGAUGUCCCACAUCGGAUAGGGGAGCAAGUUCCUGGCGCUAUAUAUGUAGAGACUCCUCUUAAUCAAGUAGACGUCUUUUAAAGCCGUGAGGGCCCCCUUGGGCCCAAAGCGGACAAUAUCUACAUGGUUGGGAGCGGGUCAUUACAUAAUUUGUACAUGAAAAGCAGUUCCAAAACUUUUUUCAAAGAAAAGACAUGAGGAAUGGGAAAAGAACUUCGAAGUUUUUAAGAAAAGUGAAUAAUUACAAUUAAAAGGGAUGAAAUAAUUCUCAAAUUUGUAAAUCUCAUUUCAUACCUAAUUUUUUAAAAACCUUCUUAAAAGUAUUUUGGGCAUUUACGAUCGAUAAAAUGGGCUCAUAUUCUCUAGAACAAUAUACAAACUUUCGUUACCACAUCCAACCAGAUAUGCAAAGUUUGUCCACUUAGAGAGGCUUAGAGCCAUUAUCAACCCCAUCUUUCCAUCAAAUAGAAUUGUCCCUAAAAGUAAGAAAGAAAGAACACUACUCUUUAUAAAAUCGUGUUAGAAUUUCUCUCCUUUUAAAACUAUGUAUGUAUAAAGGUUUUUCUCUAUGGGUUUUUUUCUUUGGAGAAUAUACAGAAAGAAGUUAUAGUAUUUCUCUCACAUUUCAAAACCAGGAAUGCAUGGAAAAGGGUUUUUUCUAUACGGGGCUUUCCAUGUUUGGAGAACGAGACAGAGAGAGGAGAGUCCAUAUGAAGUCUACUUGCUAGUUGCUGCCACGCAAAAGGUAUUUUAUAAUUUGAGUUCGAAUAAUUUAGUUCUUUUUUUAUUUUGUAUUUUUAAUUAAAUUAUGGCACAGAAAACAUUUUUUCCGUUUAGUAUAAAUGCAAUAAUAUUUGCUGGAGGAAAGAUAGAUUUUCCGGGCUCUGUUUGUGUAGAUAGAAAAUGGUUUGGGGAAACAUCUUUGGGCAUGGCGGUACAUUUCCAAUUCUGCCUAGCUGCUUCUGAUUUGUCGAUUGUUUGCUGCCUUGGCCAUUGCUUUUCUACUACAAAUUAGGGCUGAUCGAGCUUCGGAGCUUUACGAUCUUCAAAACUGGUGAGAGACACGAACAUUCUCUAGAAAUGAGUACUAGUUUCCUCUGUAGAAGAGUAGUGUCACUCACAAAUGUGGGCCAAAUGUUUGAAAUUUCAAGGACCCCGGUGCAUUUUCUUCAAAAUUCCCAACUUCUUAUGUUUAGAUCUUUCUUUUCGCCCAAACAACAUUCUUUCACAGUGUCUUACCUCAUGAACUCAUGUGGGUUGUCCCCAGAAAGUGCUUUAUCUGCGUCACGGAAGAUACAGUUUGAAACCCCAGAAAGAGCAGACUCCGUCCUCGCACUCCUUAGAAAUUAUGGAUGCACCAAUACCCAUAUCUCCAAAAUUGUUAGCAAAUAUCCGCUCCUGCUCACUGCCAAUCCUGAGAAGACCCUUUUGCCCAAACUAGAGUUUUUCCGUUCUGUAGGCUUUUCGGGGCCUGAUCUUGCCGGUAUUAUCGUUGCAAAGCCAAGUAUCUUGAAAAGGAGCUUGGAAAAUCAUGUUAUUCCUAAUUACAAUUUCCUCAAGAGCGUAGGUAUGAUCAAUGAAAAUAUUGCGAGGGCCCUCAGGAGGACUUACUGGCUUACUGGUCAAAGCGUGCAAAACACCAAUGUUCCAAAUAUUGCAACUCUGAAAGAAAUUGGAGUUCCCAUGUCAAAUAUUUCGUUUUUUCUGACAUGUCACCCUAGUGCAGUGUCCCAAAACAAGGAAAAGUUUAGUACAAAUGUCAAGAAGGUUAUUGAAAUGGGAUUUGACCCUUUGAGAGUUACAUUUCUGAAAGCAGUUCGCUUGAUCUGUGGAAUGGGUGAAUCAAUGUGGGAGCAUAAAAUGGAGGUUUAUAGGCGGUGGGGUUUUACAGAUGAUGAGAUUAUGUUGAUGAUCAGAUUGGAUCCCUUAUGUAUGACAUCAUCUGAGAGGAAAAUAAUGAGUGUGAUGGAUUUUUUAGUUAAUAAGAUGGGUUGGGAACCUGCAGCUAUUGGUAGAUAUCCAACAGUGUUUUUGCGCAGUCUUGAGAAGAAGAUCAUUCCAUGGUGUUCAGUAGUGAAAGUUCUUCAAAUAAAGGGGUUGGUGAAGAAGGAUCUGAGUUUGAGUUUUUUAGGC
Molecule: long non-coding RNA, 9020 nt
Filed under: Vitis vinifera (wine grape)
Lineage: Eukaryota; Viridiplantae; Streptophyta; Magnoliopsida; Vitales; Vitaceae
Description: long non-coding RNA (VVIN_LNC002037)
Source: RNAcentral